RNAcentral lists this unclassified non-coding RNA (256 nucleotides) under Hevea brasiliensis (rubber tree). The record is from RNAcentral. Lineage: Eukaryota; Viridiplantae; Streptophyta; Magnoliopsida; Malpighiales; Euphorbiaceae.
GGAUAAGAUUCCUGUGUAUCUUAUGGAGCGCUUUGAUCAUAAUUUGACCAAUGUAUACAACUUCAGAGUGAAAGCAUGGUCAUCCAUUCAGUACUACAAGGAUGUUGUACUUCCAAGGCUAUUGGAGGAAAAGGUUAUAAGGAUUUCUCCUUUUGCAAAUCGAUUAUCAUUUGAUGCUCCUCCAGCUGUUCAGCGGCUUAGAUGCUUGGCAAAUUAUGAAGCAUUGAGAUUUUCAAAUCCCAUAUUAACUCUGGGG